CCGGGUAGCUAUGAGAGUCCGUUGGUUUAUAAUAGACAUAGUGGGAUAAGCUGUUUCCGGAGAUAGAUACAGUGAGAUCGAGAAAGGGAAGUGUUGGAAAUGGACCAGGUGAAUUUGAGGGCCGGGUGGAAGUUGGAGGCUUCCAAAGUCCUCACCUCACCGGUGUGACUUUGUGACGCAGUUAAGAUUCAAACCUGGCGAAACUCCUUUAAUCAGCGUUAGUGCGUCCGGAAUGAUUCUUUGGAGUUAGACCCCACGGGGGUGAAUGGGUAUCCCAUUAUACAGGUAGUCCGAACCAGCUCAGGAACAUACAAGAUCGGAUUAGACUAUAGCAGUGAGCAAUAGAGCCAGAGAUAUUGGACGUCGUUAUGCUUCUGGAAGUGCAAAAUGUAAAGUGAAGGAAGAAAAAGAAAGAAGAAACCAGCUUGUGAUAUCAAAGACACUCAUAUCCCUGGUCACAGCAAUGGCCGUUCAUGUGAUCCAGAAAGCUGCCUUCUAUCUGGGAUUACGAUUUGGAGAUGUCUCUGAACCUGGCUGGCUGGCUCUUGCGGUUUCCAGUUGGUGGCACAUGUCCUAGCAGAUUGAAUGAAAUAUCUGUUUUGAUUCUUCAACCACCGACCACACAAUCUACUAAUUAACACAUCGUUGGGAUUUGGGAAGAAACCCUGCCACAGGGAGAAUGGGCAAAUAACCAAGAUUAUCAAUGCCGAGAGACAGCGAGCUGACACAAGUCCCUAAAUAUUCAGAUGUGGCUAUUUCCUCAAAAAUAAAAUGUUGCUCUAUGUCUCUCUUAUGAGGUAUCUAACAAAAGAAAAGAGAUUACAAUAUUUGACCACCACUGAAGAAAUGCAUGACAGAAUCCCAUAUGUAAGCUCACAAUAUUUCAAGAACUGUACACUCGGUGGCCACUUUACUUGGUACUUUAUGUAUGUUUGUGGUCUUCUGCUGCUGCAGCCUGUCUACUUCAAGGUUUGACGUGUUGUACAUUCAGAGAUGCUCUUCAGCACACCACUGUUGUAACGUGUAGUUAUUUGUAGUUAUCUGUCACCUUCAUGUCAACUUGAUCCACUCUGGACAUUCUCUUCUGGCCUCUCUCAUCAACAAGGUGUUUUCACCCACUGACCUGCCUCUCUCUGAUGUUUUUUUUUGUUUUACGCAUCAUUCUCUGUAAAUACUAGCAACUGUUGUGCAUGAAAAUCCCAGGAGAUUGGUGGUUUCUGAGAUACCCAAACCAUCGCAUCUGGCAUCAAAAACCAUUCCACGAUCAAAGUCACUCAGAUCACAUUUCUUCCUCAUUCUGAUGUUUGGUCUGAACAACAACUGAACCUCUUGACAAUGUCUUCAUAAUUGUAGGCAUUGAGUUGCAGCCACAUGAUUGGCUGAUUAGUAAUAAGCCUUUACAGGUGUACCUAAUAAAGUGGCCAUUGAGUGUAUGAAAAAUGAAACUGAAAAAUUCCAAUGAAGUUCCUUGCAGCUGCUGAUACUUGUUCGUGUGAAGUUGCUUCAUUCACCACAGCUACACCAGCAGUUCCUAAGAGAGGAAAGCAUGUUCCCAAGAGACCUGAACAGCCUGAUGGGUCAUGUUA
Mobula hypostoma (lesser devil ray) is the source of this 1586-nucleotide long non-coding RNA. RefSeq lists it as uncharacterized. The record is from RefSeq and is a predicted model, not a curated record. The transcript has 6 exons. Lineage: Eukaryota; Metazoa; Chordata; Chondrichthyes; Myliobatiformes; Myliobatidae.